AACGUACGCUGGCGGCACGCCUAACACAUGCAAGUCGAACGAAGUAGCAAUACUUAGUGGCAGACGGGUGAGUAACAUGUGGGUAUCUGCCCUUUGGCCUGGAAUAACACGAGGAAACUUGUGCUAAUACCGGAUAAGUCUUUACGGAGAAAGCUUUAUGCACCAUUGGAUGAGCCCGCACUUGAUUAGUUUGUUGGUGGGGUAAUGGCCUACCAAGACUGUGAUCAAUAGCUGAUUUGAGAGGAUGAUCAGCCACAUUGGGACUGAGACACGGCCCAAACUCCUACGGGAGGCAGCAGUGGGGAAUCUUGCACAAUGGAGGAAACUCUGAUGCAGCGAUGCCGCGUGAGUGAAGAAGGCCCUUGGGUUGUAAAGCUCUUUCGUCGGGGAAGAAAAUGACUGUACCCGAAUAAGAAGGUCCGGCUAACUUCGUGCCAGCAGCCGCGGUAAUACGAAGGGACCUAGCGUAGUUCGGAAUUACUGGGCUUAAAGAGUUCGUAGGUGGUUGAAAAAGUUAGUGGUGAAAUCCCAGAGCUUAACUCUGGAACUGCCAUUAAAACUUUUCAGCUAGAGUAUGAUAGAGGAAAGCAGAAUUUCUAGUGUAGAGGUGAAAUUCGUAGAUAUUAGAAAGAAUACCAAUUGCGAAGGCAGCUUUCUGGAUCAUUACUGACACUGAGGAACGAAAGCAUGGGUAGCGAAGAGGAUUAGAUACCCUCGUAGUCCAUGCCGUAAACGAUGUGUGUUAGACGUUGGAAAUUUAUUUUCAGUGUCGCAGGGAAACCGAUAAACACACCGCCUGGGGAGUACGACCGCAAGGUUAAAACUCAAAUGAAUUGACGGGGACCCGCACAAGUAGUGGAGCAUGUGGUUUAAUUCGAAGAUACGCGCAGAACCUUACCAACACUUGACAUGUUCGUCGCGACUCUAAGAGAUUAGAGUUUUCGGUUCGGCCGGACGAAACACAGGUGCUGCAUGGCUGUCGUCAGCUCGUGUCGUGAGAUGUUGGGUUAAGUCCCGCAACGAGCGCAACCCUCACUUUUAGUUGCCAUCAUUAAGUUGGGCACUCUGAAAGAACUGCCAGUGAUAAGCUGGAGGAAGGUGGGGAUGACGUCAAGUCCUCAUGGCCCUUACGUGUUGGGCUACACACGUGCUACAAUGGUAUCUACAACAGGAAGCAAGACUGCGAAGUUAAGCAAAUCCCUAAAAGAUACCUCAGUUCGGAUUGCACUCUGCAACUCGAGUGCAUGAAGCUGGAAUUACUAGUAAUCGUGGAUCAGCGUGCCACGGUGAAUGCGUUCCCGGGUCU
RNAcentral lists this ribosomal RNA (1306 nucleotides) under uncultured bacterium. RNAcentral's name for it is "bacterial SSU rRNA". It matches the Rfam family "Bacterial small subunit ribosomal RNA", at positions 28 to 1381 of the family's 1533-position model. The record is from RNAcentral.